GCUCCUCCUCUCUAAUCCUUCGUCCCUGCGUGAGAGUGCUUUCGGAAUGCAGUGCACCCAGGCAAGGAUUUUGAGAGGGUGAAC
Fukomys damarensis (Damara mole-rat) is the source of this 84-nucleotide non-coding RNA. The record is from Rfam. Lineage: Eukaryota; Metazoa; Chordata; Mammalia; Rodentia; Bathyergidae.